GAUGAACGCUGGCGGCGUGCCUAAUACAUGCAAGUCGAGCGAACGGACGAGAAGCUUGCUUCUCUGAUGUUAGCGGCGGACGGGUGAGUAACACGUGGAUAACCUACCUAUAAGACUGGGAUAACUUCGGGAAACCGGAGCUAAUACCGGAUAAUAUUUUGAACCGCAUGGUUCAAAAGUGAAAGACGGUCUUGCUGUCACUUAUAGAUGGAUCCGCGCUGCAUUAGCUAGUUGGUAAGGUAACGGCUUACCAAGGCAACGAUGCAUAGCCGACCUGAGAGGGUGAUCGGCCACACUGGAACUGAGACACGGUCCAGACUCCUACGGGAGGCAGCAGUAGGGAAUCUUCCGCAAUGGGCGAAAGCCUGACGGAGCAACGCCGCGUGAGUGAUGAAGGUCUUCGGAUCGUAAAACUCUGUUAUUAGGGAAGAACAUAUGUGUAAGUAACUGUGCACAUCUUGACGGUACCUAAUCAGAAAGCCACGGCUAACUACGUGCCAGCAGCCGCGGUAAUACGUAGGUGGGAAGCGUUAUCUGGAAUUAUUGGGCGUAAAGCGCGCGUAGGCGGUUUUUUAAGUCUGAUGUGAAAGCCCACGGCUCAACCGUGGAGGGUCAUUGGAAACUGGAAAACUUGAGUGCAGAAGAGGAAAGUGGAAUUCCAUGUGUAGCGGUGAAAUGCGCAGAGAUAUGGAGGAACACCAGUGGCGAAGGCGACUUUCUGGUCUGUAACUGACGCUGAUGUGCGAAAGCGUGGGGAUCAAACAGGAUUAGAUACCCUGGUAGUCCACGCCGUAAACGAUGAGUGCUAAGUGUUAGGGGGUUUCCGCCCCUUAGUGCUGCAGCUAACGCAUUAAGCACUCCGCCUGGGGAGUACGACCGCAAGGUUGAAACUCAAAGGAAUUGACGGGGACCCGCACAAGCGGUGGGGCAUGUGGUUUAAUUCGAAGCAACGCGAAGAACCUUACCAAAUCUUGACAUCCUUUGACAACUCUAGAGAUAGAGCUUUCCCCUUCGGGGGACAAAGUGACAGGUGGUGCAUGGUUGUCGUCAGCUCGUGUCGUGAGAUGUUGGGUUAAGUCCCGCAACGAGCGCAACCCUUAAGCUUAGUUGCCAUCAUUAAGUUGGGCACUCUAAGUUGACUGCCGGUGACAAACCGGAGGAAGGUGGGGAUGACGUCAAAUCAUCAUGCCCCUUAUGAUUUGGGCUACACACGUGCUACAAUGGACAAUACAAAGGGCAGCGAAACCGUGAGGUCAAGCAAAUCCCAUAAAGUUGUUCUCAGUUCGGAUUGUAGUCUGCAACUCGACUACAUGAAGCUGGAAUCGCUAGUAAUCGUAGAUCAGCAUGCUACGGUGAAUACGUUCCCGGGUCU
RNAcentral lists this ribosomal RNA (1372 nucleotides) under uncultured bacterium. RNAcentral describes it as "bacterial SSU rRNA". It matches the Rfam family "Bacterial small subunit ribosomal RNA", at positions 28 to 1381 of the family's 1533-position model. The record is from RNAcentral.